AUAUAACAGCGAGCUACCGUCCUUCAUUAGAUAUCUUAUCAAGUGGUACUAUCACAACGCAUUGCAUUUCCGUAGUGGUUGAAAAUUUCCAUGGCGUGGGUUUCCAGCCUACACUCACGUAGUAAGGUCUUUCACGUAAAAGAGAUGUUUACGUUUUGAAAUAUGAAACCUUUGAUAAAACCGGAUAAAUCAUCAAUUCAAAAUAGACAAAAAAUAUCCUACGUACUGCGCCAUGGAAUAACCUCGAUAGCAGUUAAAUUUCGCUUAGAACUCUUGGCUAACGCAAAAUGGCGGACCGAACUUGAACUCAAGCCUUUCACCCCUCUUCCAUUCGCACUUUCGAAAAUUGCGAUGGCAAAUUACUCGGAAGGUGAAAUUUCGACAUAUUCCUAAUAAUGAUCUUGUCAUCCUUGGUCCUCGUAAUCUACGGUUUUACUGACUACGGUAUUGAGCUCUAAUUCUUGAUAACUGCCCUUGUACGUACCUCUCGCGGACUAAUUUUGUACCCUGCGAUAAUAAUGUCUUGUAUUUGAGCUCUUUAAUUUUCAUGGCAGUAAAAUUUCGAUCUAACGGGGAAUUCACAACCCGCCAGUUUUCCGCCAUUUUGGAUCAAUAGCGUUAGUCCUUCCGCCCCCGCAGGUUCUGAGUCUACUGGACGCUAGUGUUUAAUUAUUCAACUCAUAAACGAUAACAUUUUCAAGGGGAGUAAAAUUUGCAGCUGAGCCAAUUAAAUUCAAGCUGUUGCGACUUUAGUUACUACAUAUGUUAAUCAAAAACUUUAAUCCAACGAAUAAGUAACUUGUGAAUCGAAAUAGAUUUAAAUCAUUUCGCCAGAACUGAAAUGUCAACAAUCAUGUCACGUUACCGCGAAUGGGAUCCGUCUUGCAAAGUAUACGUUGGAAACCUGGGUAGCAGUGCCAGUAAACAUGAGAUAGAAAGCGCCUUCAGCAAGUACGGACCACUAAGAAACGUUUGGGUUGCAAGAAAUCCUCCAGGAUUUGCUUUUGUUGAGUUUGAGGACCCUAGAGACGCUGAAGAUGCAGUCAGAGGAUUAGAUGGAACACGCUGUUGUGGGACAAGAGUAAGAGUAGAAAUGUCAUCAGGAAGAAGUCGUCGUGGUGGUGGAGGACGUAGACCAGGCCCACGAUACUCCAGAUCCGGAUCUCCAAGUCCACGAAAGAGGUCCCCAGGGCGUUUUCCAAGAAAUAUUUUUCUCAAUUAUUCUAGGUCGUUGUCGCGCAGUCCGCGAGGAACCGGAAUCGACCGGUACUCUAGAUUCUACCAGAGUCAGCUCCUAGCUCUGCUCGUCUCCCCGCCACUACUACUUCUACUGCUACUUCUACUACUACAGCCACCGUGAAAAAAAGACCAAAAAAAAAAAAAACAAACAAUGCAAAAAAAAAAAAAUUACAAAAUCUAGCAAUCAAAUUGAAAAAAUUGCCUGCCUGCCCACUAACCUCCCAACCAGUCACCAUCAGUCACCACCAGUCACCAUGGCUAGGAGUCAAGUCGUCCGACAGUCCGUAGCUGUCCGUCAGUUCCCCUACAAAAAGACUUCUUCGGGCUACCUCCGCCUCUAGGAGCUAGGAAGCAUCGUGACCCACCGAUCAGCCAACGCGAUACGAAUACUUCUAUCAAAAUAUCGGCGCGUCCGUUCGUCCGUCCCAACUUCUACUACUACUACUACUGCUACUACUACUCGUCCACCGUCACGAUUAACUUAGCUGACAAUGCGUCCGCCAGUUCUCUUCGACCGAGCAAAGCAAUAUGAUCACCACCUACACACCAUCCCACCACCACCCAACCAACUACCACAACCACCACCACCACAUGUUCACAGUUGUCUGGUAUUUCACCGAUUUUCAAAGAUUUUUUAUUAUCUUUUCACUUAGGCCAAUUUUCUUCGGGCUAAUGACGCAUUGCUUCUUGCAAGAUGAAAUUAUUUUCAAAUCGUUGACUUCCGCGGUGUUUGGAGAUGCAUAAUCUAUAUUCGUUCUUAUGAUUCAUGAAAAAAAGUGUCGGUACUUUUCAUUAGCCCGAAGAACUGGUGUGUAACAGUUAUUUUCACUUUUAUAAAAUUUAUUUAAUUACUAAAUUAAUCAUACAUUUUUGUUUUUGGUUUGCUUUACCAUUGUUGGUGAGAUGUCAUUUAUAUUAAUUAUUAAUUACUGUGUCUAACUUGUUUAUCUCCCUAUAGGCAUUAGGAUUAGACUAUCCCAAUUCAAUUAGAUUGUCUUGCGAUGAUUUUCAUACCUAUAACUGUUUACUUCGUGUGAACUCUGAUGCUGUUCAUUACCAAUGGAAAAUUUAGCAUAAUUUCACGACGUAAUAUUGUAAUAAAUUCAAUUUAUUUAACGUAUAUGAUUUUUCUUUGAUAAAGUAUUAGGGCAUUAUCGGCUUCUGGUUAAAUUUGUAAAAUGUAUGAAAACACAUUGGUAGAUUAUUCAUUUAAUGUCUACUGAUCGAUGCUGUGUUUUUUAUUUUUUUAUUCCUAAUCAUUGGUUUUGAACUGCGACAAAGUUCGAUGUUAAGAUUAAUAUUUAUUUAAAAAAUAGAGAUUCCAAUUUAUUGUCUGUGAUAUUUUAGGUCAAGGUCACGCAGUCCACGAAGGAGGUCAAUCACCCGCAGUAGAAGCCGCGAUCGUCGCUCACGUUCUGACUCUCCUCGCGACAGACGUUAGGUGCUAAAUGUUCGAGAAAGGAAGGACUUUAAAAUCCCAAGAUGAAGAAGAGCAAAGCAUUCUUUGUAAAUUAAUUAAAUCACAUGUUCAAAAUAACACACAUCAUACGAAUAUUAUGACACAUAACUUUAAGUUAGACUAAGACGCAUAUUAUACACAACACACACCCACCCACAUCCGCGCUGUGUUUAAAAAAUAUCGAGAAACUAACUAUUUUAUUGCAAUUAUUGACUAUAAAAUCAGAUUCAAUCAACGGAGCGUUUGAUUGAAUGACUUUGCAUAGGACACGUAUAUGAUGUGAUUGAGCCCCACAAUUGUUUUAUGUUGUAUUAAUUAUUUUGUACUCUUACAAAUUUAAGGAUUUAAAAUAAAGCUAUAAUACAUGGUAAA
Athalia rosae (coleseed sawfly) is the source of this 3070-nucleotide RNA transcript. It is a transcript of the gene named RNA-binding protein 1, with no coding region annotated. The transcript has 7 exons. The record is from RefSeq and is a predicted model, not a curated record. NCBI's taxonomy places the organism in Eukaryota, Metazoa, Arthropoda, Insecta, Hymenoptera, Athaliidae.